AAUAUAAUAACCAAAAAAUAUAAUCUAACCAUGCUUAAUGAAAUAUAAACAUACCAAAAUAUAAAUAAUCAUGUUUAGAAUCACUGACCAAUUGUAGAAAGCGAAACUUGCAUCUUGACCGCACGAUGAAUCUAUUCGAUUGCAUAGCCUUGAAAAAAAUAUAAUGUUAGUCAAAAUGGAAUAAUAAAUAAGCAAAUAACAAGAUAACAUCAAGAAUGAAGAACCAUCUAGACAUCUACAUAAUUAUUAUGUAAUCAUGAGAUUCAUAAACUAAUUUACUAAGUUGAUAUUUAGUAGUUACGAGCCAUAUCAAUAUCCGUAAACAAACAUAAGCUAAUCACCAGUCAACCAAGUUUCAAAAACAACAAACAGUUCAUAAUUCGUAAAUAUUCGAAGAGCAAAUCCAAAAGAAAGAAAAAGCAAAGACUAAAUUAAUCUUCAUCGGAGCUGAACGUUGGAAUAUUAUCCAUGCCCUCAUCCGAAUCGCGCUCCGAAGAUUCCAUGUCUUCCUCAUCUUCCAAAGGCUCCUUUCUCUUUGAUGAACAUUUCCUAGACUUGUCUUUCUUUUAUAUUGCUUUGUUCUACCACUCUCUCUUUUUAGGAUUAGCUCCAAUGAUAUCUCUAUAUUGCUUCCAAGUUACCAUAUAUAUAAGUUUGCUUAAAAAUUAGUUUGCUAUAAACUAACUGUAGUGAAAAAUAAUGUAAUCAGAAUAUCAAAGGAAGAGAAGAAAUGAAAUUGAAGAGAAAAAGUCAAAAAACAACUAAGCAAUGAGUAGAUACCUGUUCGAUGGAGUUCGAAGAGGAGCGGAGCGCCAACGGUGAAUGUUGGAGUCAGUGGAGGCGAGCUUCGAGGUCAAGGAGACGAACGACGUCAACAGAGGUGAGCUCCGAGGUCAGGGAGGCAAUCGACGUCAGCGGAGUUAAGCUGCGAGGUCGAGGAGGCGAUCGUCGUCAGCGGAGUUGAACUUAGAGGUCGGGGAGGCGAACGACGUCGGCGGAGGUGAGCUUUAAGGUUGAGGAGGCGAGCGACGUCAGUAGACGUGAGCUUCGAGGUUGGGGAGGCGAGCGACGAGGUCAACAGAGUUAAGAGGGGAGUAGAGAUCUUGAGCUCGAUGGAGUUCGAAGAGGUUCAGAGAACAGCCACACAUAGAGGGAGAGAGAUUCACGAAGGAUUAUGGCUAAACUUGAAGUUAGAAACUUCAUUUUAUUGUCAAAAGCGGGUCAGGUCGGGUUUAAGAACACACUAAGUUACAGCCCAUUACCCAACAAUUCAACUCAAAAUUCAUGCUGAUAAAGCCGAUAUUUUUAGCCUCCCUUAUCGGUCGAUAAGUGUCUUUAUCGCCGAUAACUCGCCGAUAAACCCAUAAAAACGAUAACCGAUUUAAAAAUCCUACUUAUCCUAGCGGAAAGCUCUCAAAUCCGAUAACUUGGCAAUAAUAUCGGAUUAUCGGCUGAUAUUUAAAACCAUGUUAACAACAACGUCAAUUGAGAAAGACCUAGGUCAACAAUAAGCCAGACAUAAUACAUGCUAGACUGAAUGAGGAAGGAUGUAAGUGGUUUUUCUGAAUGAUGGGCUUGCCAAUGAUACCAACAUAAAUAUAGUACAUCCCUAUUAGAUAGUGGUUGUGGUUUAGUUCCAUUAGCUGUUUGUUCUUACGAAUUUUUUCUCAUGUAAUUUGUUCUCUGAAUUAUCAACGUCAAUCAGUUGUUGAAGUUUACUUUUUACUGUUUGCAUAUUUUUCUGUAUGCUUGCUAGCUUGCAUAUACUAGAAUACUGUGUUGUACAUUUCUUGAGCUUUGUGCUAUAAAGAUUUCCUAACUAUUUUUGUAUUUGUGUCCUUGUUGCAUGUACUAUGUGCGGGCAUACGAUCAGCAGAAUGCGUGUAGUUAUUGACCAUUUUUCUGUUUCCUUGUUGUCCAUGUUUCAGAAUCUUGUUGUUGCACAUCAUUAGCUUGCCGUGGAAGUGGACAUGACAGUUCUGUUAGAAUCUAGUCCUUUUAGCUAUUAAGAUGAUAUCGCGUGCUGUUUUCUUUUGAAUUUAGCUGAAUGAACUCAGAGAACAAAAAGAUAUUGGAUUCCGUUUUGUGAUGUUUAUGGGCAUUUUUGGUUGUCCAAGAUUCUUGCCAAAUGUGAAAGGAUAUAAUUUUGUAUGAUGGAAAAUAAUUCCUGUUAAUUUUCA
Molecule: long non-coding RNA, 2180 nt
Organism: Asparagus officinalis (garden asparagus)
Lineage: Eukaryota; Viridiplantae; Streptophyta; Magnoliopsida; Asparagales; Asparagaceae
Exons: 2
Source: RefSeq, a predicted model, not a curated record